UACGGAGGAUCCAAGCGUUAUCCGGAUUCAUUGGGUUUAAAGGGUGCGUAGGCGGAAUGAUAAGUCAGUGGUGCAAGCCUGCAGCUUAACUGCAGAACUGCCAUUGAUACUGUCAAUCUUGAGUAUAUUUGAUGUGGGCGGAAUGUGUCAUGUAGCGGUGAAAUGCUUAGAUAUGACACAGAACACCGAUUGCGAAGGCAGCUUACUACGGAUAUAUUGACACUGAGGCACGAAAGCGUGGGGAUCAAACAGG
RNAcentral lists this ribosomal RNA (253 nucleotides) under uncultured bacterium. Its description in RNAcentral is "partial 16S ribosomal RNA". It matches the Rfam family "Bacterial small subunit ribosomal RNA", at positions 524 to 776 of the family's 1533-position model. The record is from RNAcentral.